RNAcentral lists this ribosomal RNA (279 nucleotides) under uncultured bacterium. RNAcentral's name for it is "partial 16S ribosomal RNA". It matches the Rfam family "Bacterial small subunit ribosomal RNA", at positions 506 to 784 of the family's 1533-position model. The record is from RNAcentral.
UGCCAGCCGCCGCGGUAAUACGGAGGGUGCAAGCGUUGUUCGGAAUUAUUGGGCGUAAAGCGCGUGUAGGCGGUUCGUUAAGUCUGAUGUGAAAGCCCGGGGCUCAACCCCGGAAGUGCAUUGGAAACUGGCGAACUUGAGUACGGGAGAGGAAAGUGGAAUUCCGAGUGUAGGGGUGAAAUCCGUAGAUAUUCGGAGGAACACCAGUGGCGAAGGCGGCUUCCUGGCCCAAUACUGACGCUCAGGUGCGAAAGCGUGGGUAGCGAACAGGAUUAGAUA